RNAcentral lists this ribosomal RNA (506 nucleotides) under uncultured bacterium. RNAcentral's name for it is "partial 16S ribosomal RNA". It matches the Rfam family "Bacterial small subunit ribosomal RNA", at positions 30 to 523 of the family's 1533-position model. The record is from RNAcentral.
AUUGAACGCUGGCGGCAGGCCUAACACAUGCAAGUCGAGCGGCAGCGGGAAGUAGCUUGCUACUUUGCCGGCGAGCGGCGGACGGGUGAGUAAUGUCUGGGAAACUGCCUGAUGGAGGGGGAUAACUACUGGAAACGGUAGCUAAUACCGCAUAACGUCGCAAGACCAAAGAGGGGGACCUUCGGGCCUCUUGCCAUCAGAUGUGCCCAGAUGGGAUUAGCUAGUAGGUGGGGUAACGGCUCACCUAGGCGACGAUCCCUAGCUGGUCUGAGAGGAUGACCAGCCACACUGGAACUGAGACACGGUCCAGACUCCUACGGGAGGCAGCAGUGGGGAAUAUUGCACAAUGGGCGCAAGCCUGAUGCAGCCAUGCCGCGUGUAUGAAGAAGGCCUUCGGGUUGUAAAGUACUUUCAGCGGGGAGGAAGGUGUUGAGGUUAAUAACCUCAGCAAUUGACGUUACCCGCAGAAGAAGCACCGGCUAACUCCGUGCCAGCCGCCGCCGUAA